RNAcentral lists this ribosomal RNA (377 nucleotides) under Musa acuminata (dwarf banana). Its description in RNAcentral is "eukaryotic LSU rRNA". The stretch from base 1 to 104 matches the Rfam family "5.8S ribosomal RNA", at positions 53 to 154 of the family's 154-position model. The record is from RNAcentral. Lineage: Eukaryota; Viridiplantae; Streptophyta; Magnoliopsida; Zingiberales; Musaceae.
AUGCGAUACUUGGUGUGAAUUGCAGAAUCCCGUGAACCAUCGAGUCUUUGAACGCAAGUUGCGCCCGAGGCCAUCCGGCUAAGGGCACGCCUGCCUGGGCGUCACGCUUUCGACGCUUCGUCGUUGCACCCUCGGGGGGGUGGGGGCGAACGCGGAGGAUGGCCCCCCGUGCCGGAAGGUGCGGUUGGCCGAAGAGCGGGCCGUCGGUGGUUGUCGAACACGACGCGUGGUGGAUGCCUUGUGCGAGCCGUACGUCGUGCCUUCGGGACCCGGGCGAGGCCUCGAGGACCCAAGUCGUGGUGCGAGUCGAUGCCACAGACCGCGACCCCAGGUCAGGUGGGGCUACCCGCUGAGUUUAAGCAUAUCAAUAAGCGGAG